Molecule: long non-coding RNA, 679 nt
Organism: Mus musculus (house mouse)
Lineage: Eukaryota; Metazoa; Chordata; Mammalia; Rodentia; Muridae
Product: predicted gene, 31982
Exons: 4
Source: RefSeq, a predicted model, not a curated record
UUGGAGACAUCAUAGACGUUCGACUUCACGGCCAGAGGUUCUCUGCUUCAGACUAGGAGCAUAACUAAAUUCUACCGCCUGGUAAAUGGCCCGCAAUUUAAAGCGGAGACACUAGGUGGUGGUAUGCAGCUGCUAAAUGGCUGUUAGCAUGUCCGAAUUCUAGCAUGUCCGCAAAUUAAAGCAUGACCUAAACGACUGCUUAAGCGGCUAAGUGAAGGCUGCUAAGCAGGGUCCCAGCUAUUUCCCAGCUACCGAUUUAUGCCAACUGUUGUGAAACUGUCGUGAAUCGGGAUUAAUGACAAGCAAAAAGGAAGUCCCAGACUCAGAGAUCACUGCUGAAAGUCACUGUAAGCUUUGCUUUUGGACACAGAUGCUAUUAGUACCAUGAGGUAACAGGUCUCCUCCAUCACAUUUCCCUCUCCUCCCAUGCACUACCUCACUACAGGCACAAAGGCAAAAGAGCCAGUGGGCGACAGUGGAGAGGUCCCAGGUGUGCAUUCCAGGCACUCAAGCAAUACAUACAGACUAAGCCUGUUUGGGUGCACAGCUCCAGGAUGUAGCAUUUCUAAAGCUGAGAACAGAUGAGGGAACAGGCUGGAAUGUAAAAGACAAUGCCCUGUGUUCCUGCAAUGCCAGCUACAAAGCCCAUCACUUCUACAAAUAAAACCCAAACAACUCA